AGAGUUUGAUCCUGGCCCAGGACGAACGCUGGCGGCGUGCUUAACACAUGCAAGUCGAACGAGAAUCUGUGGAUCGAGGAUUCGUCCAAGUGAAGCAGAGGACAGUGGCGGACGGGUGAGUAACGCGUGAGGAACCUGCCUUUCAGAGGGGGACAACAGUUGGAAAUGACUGCUAAUACCGCAUGAUACAUUUGGGUGGCAUCAUCUGAAUGUCAAAGAUUUAUCGCUGAAAGAUGGCCUCGCGUCUGAUUAGCUAGUUGGUGAGGUAACGGCCCACCAAGGCGACGAUCAGUAGCCGGACUGAGAGGUUGACCGGCCACAUUGGGACUGAGAUACGGCCCAGACUCCUACGGGAGGCAGCAGUGGGGAAUAUUGGGCAAUGGGCGCAAGCCUGACCCAGCAACGCCGCGUGAAGGAAGAAGGCUUUCGGGUUGUAAACUUCUUUUAAGAGGGAAGAGCAGAAGACUGUACCUCUAGAAUAAGCCACGGCUAACUACGUGCCAGCAGCCGCGGUAAUACGUAGGUGGCAAGCGUUGUCCGGAUUUACUGGUGUAAAGGGCGUGCAGCCGGGAAUGCAAGUCAGAUGUGAAAUCCAUGGGCUUAACCCAUGAACUGCAUUUGAAACUGUAUUUCUUGAGUACUGGAGAGGCAAUCGGAAUUCCUAGUGUAGCGGUGAAAUGCGUAGAUAUUAGGAGGAACACCAGUGGCGAAGGCGGAUUGCUGGACAGCAACUGACGGUGAGGCGCGAAAGUGUGGGGAGCAAACAGGAUUAGAUACCCUGGUAGUCCACACUGUAAACGAUGAAUACUAGGUGUGCGGGGACUGACCCCCUGCGUGCCGCAGUUAACACAAUAAGUAUUCCACCUGGGGAGUACGAUCGCAAGGUUGAAACUCGAAGGAAUUGACGGGGGCCCGCACAAGCGGUGGAUUAUGUGGUUUAAUUCGAAGCAACGCGGAGAACCUUACCAGGGUUUGACAUCCUGCUAACGAAGUAGAGAUACAUUAGGUGCCCUUCGGGGAAAGCAGAGACAGGUGGUGCAUGGUUGUCGUCAGCUCGUGUCGUGAGAUGUUGGGUUAAGUCCCGCAACGAGCGCAACCCCUAUUGUUAGUUGCUACGCAAGAGCACUCUAGCGAGACUGCCGUUGACAAAACGGAGGAAGGUGGGGACGACGUCAAAUCAUCAUGCCCCUUAUAUCCUGGGCUACACACGUAAUACAAUGGCGGUCAACAGAGGGAUGCAAAGCCGCGAGGCAGAGCGAACCCCUAAAAGCCGUCCCAGUUCGGAUCGUGGGCUGCAACCCGCCCACGUGAAGUCGGAAUCGCUAGUAAUCGCGGAUCAGCAUGCCGCGGUGAAUACGUUCCCGGGCCUUGUACACACCGCCCGUCACACCAUGAGAGUCGGGAACACCCGAAGUCCGUAGCCUAACCUGAAAAGGAGGGCGCGGCCGAAGGUGGGUUCGAUAAUUGGGGUGAAGUCGUAACAAGGUA
This 1488-nucleotide ribosomal RNA is filed under the name metagenome. RNAcentral describes it as "bacterial SSU rRNA". It matches the Rfam family "Bacterial small subunit ribosomal RNA". The record is from RNAcentral.